UUAGCAGGGGACUGAGUCAUGCCCUGAUAUCGUAUGCAGAAAAGUGGGACUGUGAGGAUAAAAAGAAGUUAAGGUUUGUACAGCUCAACUCAUAGGCCAGAUCACAGCACAAAACCCAAGCUGGAAAAGGAUAGAGCAGAAAGCUUUAUGAACUCAGACAAGUUGAACAUCUUCACCCUCCUGGUGGGGGAGAAAGAACUGGCAGUUGCAUUUAAGGAUAUCUCUUAUAGAAAAUGAGCAACUGAACUGGUGCUAGCAAGACUAUGGGACUUCCUUGCAAGGAGUAUUGGUUGCUGAUCAUUAUUUUUAUCCGCCUGUACCAUACGGCUGGUGCGUGAGGUCUUGUUAACUUAUGACUGAACCAGGUUUAAAUGUAAGGGGAGAGUCUUGAGGGUGGACGCAGGAACAGACAAGAAGAUGAAAAUGUCCAGGCAGAGAUGGUUUGUUGAUGAACUCUGCACUGCAUCUGAGACUUGAAGACCUCUCCAGAGAGCUGGGUUGACAACAAGCUUCUUCAUCAGUUCUUCAGGCAAUUAGAGUAUGUUCCUGUGAUCCAGGAAGGAGGGAGCAGAAAAUCUAAAGACAACAAGUGCAAGAGCCACCGUCUUGGUGAAAAGGUCGUCCUUAAACUAGAUGAUACUUGUUUCAUGAUGCAUUUCUGGCCAUGGUGAACACUGAAGAAGUGACCACAGCAGCAGCAACAGUAGAUCCCAGGGCACUACUGGACUUCAGCGUGACAUCUGGGUGAACACUGAAGAAGUGACCACAGCAGCAGCGAGAAGUGACCACAGCAGCAGCAACAGUAGAUCCCAGGGCACUACUGGACUUCAGUGUGACAUCUGAUGCAUAGUUUUAAGCAAAAAUUUUGUUCAAUCUCCAAUGCAGAGAGUUGGGCUGGAGAGAACAGCCAUAUCAUAACCUAGAUGAAAAAGUGGGUGUUGCAUCUGUAGCUUGUUUUUCACAUGAUGUCUUGCAGCUUUCACUGGUGAGGCUUUCUGGGUUGUGUUAAUAAUCACAGCAUACUUUCCUUUAUCUAAGGCCCACUGCCAAUGUUGAUUGAACUCUGUGGUCAGUGAGUCUAGAUCUGAAGUCUUGGCAUUCAUAAGAUUGUCA
This 1113-nucleotide long non-coding RNA is filed under the name Struthio camelus australis. RNAcentral describes it as "lncRNA (ENSSCUG00000006965.1)". The record is from RNAcentral. Lineage: Eukaryota; Metazoa; Chordata; Aves; Struthioniformes; Struthionidae.